GACGAACGCUGGCGGCGUGCUUAACGCAUGCAAGUCGAGCGAUGAAGCUCCUUCGGGAGUGGAUUAGCGGCGGACGGGUGAGUAACACGUGGGUAACCUGCCUCAUAGAGGGGAAUAGCCUUCCGAAAGGAAGAUUAAUACCGCAUAAGAUUGUAGUGCCGCAUGGUACAGCAAUUAAAGGAGCAAUCCGCUAUGAGAUGGACCCGCGUCGCAUUAGCUAGUUGGUGAGGUAACGGCUCACCAAGGCGACGAUGCGUAGCCGACCUGAGAGGGUGAUCGGCCACAUUGGGACUGAGACACGGCCCAGACUCCUACGGGAGGCAGCAGUGGGGAAUAUUGCACAAUGGGGGAAACCCUGAUGCAGCAACGCCGCGUGAGUGAUGACGGUCUUCGGAUUGUAAAACUCUGUCUUCAGGGACGAUAAUGACGGUACCUGAGGAGGAAGCCACGGCUAACUACGUGCCAGCAGCCGCCGUAA
Molecule: ribosomal RNA, 478 nt
Filed under: uncultured bacterium
Lineage: Bacteria
Description: partial 16S ribosomal RNA
Rfam family: Bacterial small subunit ribosomal RNA
Source: RNAcentral